This 389-nucleotide ribosomal RNA is filed under the name uncultured bacterium. RNAcentral describes it as "bacterial SSU rRNA". It matches the Rfam family "Bacterial small subunit ribosomal RNA", at positions 29 to 408 of the family's 1533-position model. The record is from RNAcentral.
AAUGAACGCUGGCGGCGCGCCUAAUACAUGCAAGUCGAGCGAGAAGACGUAGCAAUACGUUUGUAAAGCGGCGAACGGGUGAGGAAUACAUGGGUAACCUACCCUAGAGUGGGGAAUAACUAGCCGAAAGGUUAGCUAAUACCGCGUACGCUCCUUGGACUUCGGUUCAGGGAGGAAAGCGAUGCCGAGGGUAUCGCGCUCUUGGAUGGGCUCAUGUCCUAUCAGCUUGUUGGNGAGGUAACGGCUCACCAAGGCUUCGACGGGUAGCUGGUCUGAGAGGACGAUCAGCCACACUGGCACUGCGACACGGGCCAGACUCCUACGGGAGGCAGCAGUAAGGAAUAUUGCGCAAUGGGCGAAAGCCUGACGCAGCGACGCCGCGUGGGGGA